UAGGGAAUCUUCGGCAAUGGGGGCAACCCUGACCGAGCAACGCCGCGUGAGUGAAGAAGGUUUUCGGAUCGUAAAGCUCUGUUGUAAGUCAAGAACGAGUGUGAGAGUGGAAAGUUCACGCUGUGACGGUAGCUUACCAGAAAGGGACGGCUAACUACGUGCCAGCAGCCGCGGUAAUACGUAGGUCCCGAGCGUUGUCCGGAUUUAUUGGGCGUAAAGCGAGCGCAGGCGGUUUGAUAAGUCUGAAGUUAAAGGCUGUGGCUCAACCAUAGUUCGCUUUGGAAACUGUCAAACUUGAGUGCAGAAGGGGAGAGUGGAAUUCCAUGUGUAGCGGUGAAAUGCGUAGAUAUAUGGAGGAACACCGGUGGCGAAAGCGGCUCUCUGGUCUGUAACUGACGCUGAGGCUCGAAAGCGUGGGGAGCGAACAGGAUUAGAUACCCUGGUAGUCCACGCCGUAAACGAUGAGUGCUAGGUGUUGGAUCCUUUCCGGGAUUCAGUGCCGUAGCUAACGCAUUAAGCACUCCGCCUGGGGAGUACGACCGCAAGGUUG
This 550-nucleotide ribosomal RNA is filed under the name uncultured bacterium. Its description in RNAcentral is "bacterial SSU rRNA". It matches the Rfam family "Bacterial small subunit ribosomal RNA", at positions 355 to 896 of the family's 1533-position model. The record is from RNAcentral.